This 169-nucleotide ribosomal RNA is filed under the name uncultured bacterium. Its description in RNAcentral is "partial 16S ribosomal RNA". It matches the Rfam family "Bacterial small subunit ribosomal RNA", at positions 338 to 524 of the family's 1533-position model. The record is from RNAcentral.
CCUACGGGAGGCAGCAGUGGGGAAUUUUGGACAAUGGGCGAAAGCCUGAUCCAGCCAUGCCGCGUGAGUGAUGAAGGCCUUAGGGUUGUAAAGCUCUUUCACCCACGACGAUGAUGACGUUACUCGCAGAAUAAGCACCGGCUAACUCCGUGCCAGCAGCCGCGGUAAU